RNAcentral lists this ribosomal RNA (1298 nucleotides) under Vibrio parahaemolyticus. Its description in RNAcentral is "bacterial SSU rRNA". It matches the Rfam family "Bacterial small subunit ribosomal RNA", at positions 88 to 1382 of the family's 1533-position model. The record is from RNAcentral. Lineage: Bacteria; Pseudomonadati; Pseudomonadota; Gammaproteobacteria; Vibrionales; Vibrionaceae.
GCGUCGAGCGGCGGACGGGUGAGUAAUGCCUAGGAAAUUGCCCUGAUGUGGGGGAUAACCAUUGGAAACGAUGGCUAAUACCGCAUGAUGCCUACGGGCCAAAGAGGGGGACCUUCGGGCCUCUCGCGUCAGGAUAUGCCUAGGUGGGAUUAGCUAGUUGGUGAGGUAAGGGCUCACCAAGGCGACGAUCCCUAGCUGGUCUGAGAGGAUGAUCAGCCACACUGGAACUGAGACACGGUCCAGACUCCUACGGGAGGCAGCAGUGGGGAAUAUUGCACAAUGGGCGCAAGCCUGAUGCAGCCAUGCCGCGUGUGUGAAGAAGGCCUUCGGGUUGUAAAGCACUUUCAGUCGUGAGGAAGGUAGUGUAGUUAAUAGCUGCAUUAUUUGACGUUAGCGACAGAAGAAGCACCGGCUAACUCCGUGCCAGCAGCCGCGGUAAUACGGAGGGUGCGAGCGUUAAUCGGAAUUACUGGGCGUAAAGCGCAUGCAGGUGGUUUGUUAAGUCAGAUGUGAAAGCCCGGGGCUCAACCUCGGAAUUGCAUUUGAAACUGGCAGACUAGAGUACUGUAGAGGGGGGUAGAAUUUCAGGUGUAGCGGUGAAAUGCGUAGAGAUCUGAAGGAAUACCGGUGGCGAAGGCGGCCCCCUGGACAGAUACUGACACUCAGAUGCGAAAGCGUGGGGAGCAAACAGGAUUAGAUACCCUGGUAGUCCACGCCGUAAACGAUGUCUACUUGGAGGUUGUGGCCUUGAGCCGUGGCUUUCGGAGCUAACGCGUUAAGUAGACCGCCUGGGGAGUACGGUCGCAAGAUUAAAACUCAAAUGAAUUGACGGGGGCCCGCACAAGCGGUGGAGCAUGUGGUUUAAUUCGAUGCAACGCGAAGAACCUUACCUACUCUUGACAUCCAGAGAACUUUCCAGAGAUGGAUUGGUGCCUUCGGGAACUUUGAGACAGGUGCUGCAUGGCUGUCGUCAGCUCGUGUUGUGAAAUGUUGGGUUAAGUCCCGCAACGAGCGCAACCCUUAUCCUUGUUUGCCAGCGAGUAAUGUCGGGAACUCCAGGGAGACUGCCGGUGAUAAACCGGAGGAAGGUGGGGACGACGUCAAGUCAUCAUGGCCCUUACGAGUAGGGCUACACACGUGCUACAAUGGCGCAUACAGAGGGCAGCCAACUUGCGAAAGUGAGCGAAUCCCAAAAAGUGCGUCGUAGUCCGGAUUGGAGUCUGCAACUCGACUCCAUGAAGUCGGAAUCGCUAGUAAUCGUGGAUCAGAAUGCCACGGUGAAUACGUUCCCGGGCCUU